This 420-nucleotide ribosomal RNA is filed under the name Fusobacteriota bacterium. RNAcentral describes it as "Fusobacteria bacterium partial 16S ribosomal RNA". It matches the Rfam family "Bacterial small subunit ribosomal RNA", at positions 355 to 776 of the family's 1533-position model. Lineage: Bacteria; Fusobacteriati; Fusobacteriota. The record is from RNAcentral.
UGGGGGAUAUUGCACAAUGGGCGAAAGCCUGAUGCAGCGACGCCGCGUGGGGGAUGAAGGCCUUCGGGUUGUAAACUUCUUUUGCUCUGAACAAGGCAUGCCUUUGGGGUGUGUUGAGUGUAGGGGUUGAUUAGCGCCGGCUAACUACGUGCCAGCAGCCGCGGUAAUACGUAGGGCGCGAGCGUUGUCCGGAAUUAUCGGGCGUAAAGGGCUUGUAGGUGGCUGGUUGCGUCUGUCGUGAAAGCUCAUGGCUUAACUGUGGGUUUGCGGUGGGUACGGGCUGGCUUGAGUGCAGUAGGGGAGGCUGGAAUUCCUGGUGUAGCGGUGGAAUGCGCAGAUAUCAGGAGGAAUACCGGUGGCGAAGGCGGGUCUCUGGGCUGUUACUGACGCUGAGGAGCGAAAGCGUGGGGAGCGAACAGG